CUCACAAAUUUCCCAAACAGCACUGCCUGGGAACCACGACUACACAGAUUCCUGAGCCUGAGGGGGACUCUUCACAUUCAAACCGCCACAGACAAUGAGAAAUGUGAGCAUUAAGACCAGUCCUGGGAGAGAGCAUGCGCGUGUCAAUUUUCAGUGAUGGCCGCGAUCCACAUCUGGAUAAACACUUAGAAAGUGUGUAGCCCAGGUCUUAGACAACCCCUGUAAAAGAGUCAUUCAACCCCGAAGCAGCAGCAGCAAUCCACAGGUUGAGAACUCUGGCCAAGACACCUUAUUUUUCUCUGAGACUGAGUCCUCGGGAUGAUGUGACAGAGGACCAUCAGACUGCAUCCUGCUUCCACCAGGUUCCAGCUGCCAGGGACUGAGAACAUUAGCCUCAUUCUUCUGCACUAGCCAAUAGCCAGCAAAAACAUGACUCACACAGUGUGGAGUAGUAAUUUGGAGGCCCCUGCUGAUGUUCCCACUCUUGGGUUCAUAAAAGAGAAAGAGAUUUAGAGAGUAUGGUAUACGGCGGUGUGGGGGAAGGGGGUGCCCCAGUGGGCAUCUCUUCCCCGGAGAGACCAGACACACACAGAUAUGGUAUGGAGUAGAGUUUAUUCAGGGCAGAGGAUGGGAGUUAAUGGGGUAGUGGAGGCACAGAAAGGCAGAGAGAGGGAGAGAGUGGAGGCUGGCCACCACCACGUAGAGAAAGGGGGAGGGGAGGAGAGC
Long non-coding RNA from Apodemus sylvaticus (European woodmouse), 726 nucleotides. RefSeq lists it as uncharacterized. The transcript is spliced from 3 exons. The record is from RefSeq and is a predicted model, not a curated record. Lineage: Eukaryota; Metazoa; Chordata; Mammalia; Rodentia; Muridae.